RNAcentral lists this ribosomal RNA (226 nucleotides) under uncultured bacterium. Its description in RNAcentral is "partial 16S ribosomal RNA". It matches the Rfam family "Bacterial small subunit ribosomal RNA", at positions 524 to 744 of the family's 1533-position model. The record is from RNAcentral.
UACGUAGGGUGCGAGCGUUAAUCGGAAUUACUGGGCGUAAAGCGUGCGCAGGCGGUUUUGUAAGUCUGUCGUGAAAUCCCCGGGCUCAACCUGGGAAUUGCGAUGGAGACUGCAAGGCUAGAAUCUGGCAGAGGGGGGUAGAAUUCCACGUGUGAGCAGUGAAAUGCGUAGAGAUAGUGGGAGGAACACCGAUGGCGAAGGCAGCCCCCUGGGUCCAAGAUUGGAC